GGCGGACGCUGGAGGCGGCCACGGACGUUGGCUGCUGACAGAGGAAAAAAGAGCGUUUUACUUUUUAUUCUCCUUAGUAACUUGAUCUCCAAGGCUUUUCAAUAAUACUGAUUACUGAAAUCUCUUGCCAUCUUACAAAAGGACAAGAUUCAGCAAUUAAAAAAUGUCUCCAGAGAAGUUACUUAAUUCUGCAGGAAGAGCUCUGGGCACAUGAAAAGGGAGGCAAAGCUUGGAAGAGAAUCCACUGUACCUGCUGUGCAAAAACAAGCUGUCUCUGCACUUCAAGGAAUACACAAGGCUGCAUCUGAAAAAGCAAGCCACUUGAAUAUGGAGAAAACAAUCAAAAUAACCAAAGAUUAUUUACCACUGCAAAGGCAGGACUGUACCAAUUUUAGAGACUGUAUUGCAUAUUCACAGCUUUAUCAAAUGAAGUCAAACUGUCAGAGGUUAGUAUGCAAAUCCUUGGGAGCACGUUUGGGUUGCACUUGUAUUUUGUACUAUAAAACCACCUACAGACCAAGCCUCCAGGUACCAGCAGCACAGGCUCUGAACUAGAGCCCACUUUUGACAAGUAAGUUCCAUACAUUUUUCAUGAUCAUUCGUGUCAAUAAACUUGGCCACUAUCAACCAAAAAUAAGAAAAUACCCCAAUCACAUUCGAACAAACACUAACACAAAAGCCAAGUUUUUCCACAAUACAGAUUGUGAAACCUCUUUACAUCU
This is a long non-coding RNA of Passer domesticus (house sparrow), 722 nucleotides long. RefSeq lists it as uncharacterized. Lineage: Eukaryota; Metazoa; Chordata; Aves; Passeriformes; Passeridae. The transcript has 3 exons. The record is from RefSeq and is a predicted model, not a curated record.